CGGCCGGGCCGGGUGAUCGCGGUUGGACAGACGAAAGGGUUCAGACGAGGAAAGUCCGGGCUUCACAGGGCAGGAUGCCGGAUAACGUCCGGUGGAGGCAACUCCCAGACCAGUGCAACAGAAAUAUACCGCGUCCGCACUUCGGAGUGCAGGCGUAAGGGUGGAAAGGCAGUGUAAGAGACUACCGCCGUCGCGGUAACGGGACGGGCACAUGUAAACUCCAUUCGAAGCAAGACCGAGAAGAAAGCGAUACGGCUGCCCGUCGUGCUUUCAGGUGGGUCGCUCGAGCCUCCCGGUAACGGAAGGCCUAGAUAGAUGAUCACCCCAGACAUAACCCGGCUUACAGGCCCGACCGCAAA
RNAcentral lists this RNase P RNA (359 nucleotides) under Blautia sp. RNAcentral's name for it is "RNase P RNA component class A". It matches the Rfam family "Bacterial RNase P class A". From Rfam's summary of the family: Ribonuclease P (RNase P) is a ubiquitous endoribonuclease, found in archaea, bacteria and eukarya as well as chloroplasts and mitochondria. Its best characterised activity is the generation of mature 5'-ends of tRNAs by cleaving the 5'-leader elements of precursor-tRNAs. Lineage: Bacteria; Bacillati; Bacillota; Clostridia; Lachnospirales; Lachnospiraceae. The record is from RNAcentral.